GUACAAGGCACUGAAGGCACUGGCCUAAAUUCUAAAUUGGAUAUUGAAAAUUAAAGACAAGGCUUAGGCCUAUUUUGAUCGUGAUUUUCGAAUUUUAAAUUACUAAAGUCAAGGCUGUAUGGUCCUGAGAUCUUUGCCUGCCUUAUAUAAGGCGAAUUUAAACAACAACAACAACAUCAUCGAGUCGAGCCCUACUUCCUUGUACAAACUUGCGUUGACUGACAUUCUACUGUAAAAACUUCCAGAACCAUUAUGUGUUUUGGAUAGAGCCAAAAUGAUAAAAGUUUGUGGAUAAUGUUCGUUGAUAAAUUGCAAUGUGUUAGAUGCUGAUCGACUUUGUCAUACUAACUCAUACUCAUACUAAGAGAUGCAAGCAACAACAAGUUUCCUGAAGAAUGUUCCAGCCCGAGAGUUAGAAACAAUGUGUCUGUAUAAGUUGUGGAAUAUCUUUGUGAAGGCAUACAAGAGGACAAAAUCACAGGCCAUAGGCUUAUGGAAAGAAAUAAAGAGUGACAUAUCUCCAAGACAGAUGCUUGAUGGAUGCCCAUGUAUGCGUUGUUUGCAGAAUGAGCUCACCUCAAAUGCAUUAAUACCUAGCGAACAUAAGAGCUGUGUUAAGUGUGCCAUUGCAUUGUAUGUAGCUAUUUAUCUUCAUAGAUGUUGUUAAACUAUGAGCUUAAAUCACUUUAUAAUUUAUAGUAUCAUGUCAUUAAAUAAUUAAAAAGCUAGUUAGGAACAUAACCCAUAUAUUUUAAUGUUAUUAUCUAUACCUACUUACUAAUAUGUUCAGCUGAUCAGCCAGCCAUCUCCUAACCAAACCGGGGAUCACAAAGUAAUUUUUGUGUUAGUCCCUACUGGGAUUUGAAUCUGGGACCUCCGGAUGUGAGCCCAACAGUUAGCCACUGGACCAUGGAGGCCGAGAGUACUUGUUAAGUUGCUGUUUUAUUUCAACUACCUAUUUGAUUAAAUGUAGAAAUAAAGAAGAAAAUGUAUGAGUAUGAGUUGCAUCUAUAAUAUUUUAAAUAUAUAAUAAAACAACUUAUUUCUAAAAAUAUAUCUUUCAUUAUCUUUUAAUACAAUUGUUUCGUUUUAAAAUUAUUUUGAAAAAUAUAAAUAGUAAUCACGUCGUUUAGCGCCACUUUUACUGAAAAGGUCUCACAAUCAGUGUUUUUUGUUGUAUCAAAAUUGUUAGUUGCAUUUUAAUGCAGGUACCUACCUACUGGCAUUUAACUUAUGACCUCUUGAGAACAGAUUUCCACAUCAAACAUCCUUUGAUAGUUUUUAUUGGCUUAAAUACAAGACAAAUAUUAUUACAAAAUCUAUAGGUACCAAGGUACAAAUGAGUGACAUUCCAGGCUACUUUCCCCAAAAAACAAUAUAGAUGGCGCUGUACAGAUGUGCGAUCGUUUAACCUUCUAAUUUUAUAUUUUUAAUAGUAAUCACGUCGUUUAGCGCCACUUUUACUGAAAAGGUCUCAUAGUAGUCAGUGUUUUUUGAAUUAAAUUGGGAUAAUUUAUUUAUUGCCAUUACAUUAUAUUUUUGAAUAAUUAUUUAUCCGAGUAGUGAGAAAACGGGUAUUUACGUUUUUAGGACGUUAAAUCUGGACAGCGCCAUCUAUAUUUUUUUUGAGAAAGUAGCCUGGAAAGUCAUCCAUUAGUUCUAUUAAGUACCUGUUUACUAAAUAUGCAAGAGUAACGUGUGUUAUUGGUGCUGAUUCCAGUACACACAGUAAGUUUAUUUGAAGUUAAACCUGUCAUUUUAUUAUCAGCCGAAAAGGAAAGGGACGGAUGAUUGAAAACUGUACCUGGAUACCUUCACACGACUUAUUUAAACUAUGAUAAGCGCUAAUUACAGUACCCAAUCCACUUAGAGCGAGGCGUCAAGGUCACAUCGAGAUUGGAAUAAUCGACGCUAUUACAGUAGCUCGUGGUGGUUACUCCUCACCAACUCGCUUGAGAUCGUGGUUACCAUGGUUACGCCCCACCGAUUUGCUAUUAGACUACACGAUCUUGAUCGACAUGCCCGUGACCUUGACGCACCGGGCAGAAUGGAUUGGAAAGUGUAAUUGCCGCUUCGUCGUGUGAAAAAAAUUUAUAAUCCAGGUAUCUAUCUUAUGUUAUGGUAGCAAUGUCACAUCACUGGUGUUGGUCGUGUGUGACGCAUCCCUAUUAUUUUAAGAAAAGACUAUAGUGUCUAUGAUUGUCUACGGCCUCUCUCUGACAUGUAAUGGCGUAGGGUGUGUUGCGUAAAUUAAUUAAACUCCUCUCAUUUACUAAA
This 2277-nucleotide long non-coding RNA is filed under the name Pectinophora gossypiella (pink bollworm). Its description in RNAcentral is "uncharacterized LOC126381707". The record is from RNAcentral. Lineage: Eukaryota; Metazoa; Arthropoda; Insecta; Lepidoptera; Gelechiidae.